RNAcentral lists this small RNA (308 nucleotides) under uncultured fungus. Its description in RNAcentral is "eukaryotic LSU rRNA". It matches the Rfam family "Eukaryotic large subunit ribosomal RNA", at positions 668 to 961 of the family's 3401-position model. The record is from RNAcentral. Lineage: Eukaryota; Fungi.
AAGGAGUGUGUUGUUAGUGCAAGUUUUUUAGUGUACGAAAACUAAAAGGCAAAAUGAAAGUGAGCGAUUCGAUCGCAGGUGUGAAUCCUAACGAAAGGAGGCAGCAUCAUCCGGCCAUGACUUUUUGGAAAAGGUCUGAGAAAAAGCAUUAACAAUGUGACCCGAAAGGUGAUGAUCUAAACCAGAUUAGAAUGAAGUCAAAAGAAAUUUUGAUGGAGGUUCGAAUCCGUUCUGACGUGCAAAUCGAUGGUCGAAUGUUUGGUUUAGGGGCGAAAGACUAAUCGAAUCACCUGGUAGCUGGUUCCGGC